This 254-nucleotide ribosomal RNA is filed under the name uncultured bacterium. Its description in RNAcentral is "partial 16S ribosomal RNA". It matches the Rfam family "Bacterial small subunit ribosomal RNA", at positions 524 to 776 of the family's 1533-position model. The record is from RNAcentral.
UACGUAGGGUGCAAGCGUUGUCCGGAAUUAUUGGGCGUAAAGAGUUCGUAGGCGGUUUGUCGCGUCCGUUGUGAAAGCUUGGGGCUCAACCCCGGGCCUGCAGCCGAUACGGGCAAGCUAGAAUUCGGUAGGGGAGACUGGAAUUCCUGGUGUAGCGGUGAAAUGCGCAGAUAUCAGGAGGAACACCGGUGGCGAAGGCGGGUCUCGUGGGCCGAAAUUGACGCUGAGGAGCGAAAGCGUGGGGAGCAAACAGG